GAUGAAGAACGUAGCGAAAUGCGAUAAGUAAUGUGAAUUGCAGAAUUCAGUGAAUCAUCGAAUCUUUGAACGCACAUUGCGCCCGCCAGUAUUCUGGCGGGCAUGCCUGUUCGAGCGUCAUUACAACCCUCAGGCCCCCGGGCCUGGCGUUGGGGAUCGGCGGAGCCCCCCGUGGGCACACGCCGUCCCCCAAAUACAGUGGCGGUCCCGCCGCAGCUUCCAUCGCGUAGUAGCUAACACCUCGCGACUGGAGAGCGGCGCGGCCACGCCGUAAAACACCCAACUCUUCUGAAGUUGACCUCGAAUCAGUUAGGAAUACCCGCUGAACUUAAGCAUAUCAAUAAGCGGAGGA
Molecule: unclassified non-coding RNA, 352 nt
Filed under: soil metagenome
Description: partial contains 5.8S ribosomal RNA, internal transcribed spacer 2, and large subunit ribosomal RNA
Rfam family: 5.8S ribosomal RNA (bases 1-120)
Source: RNAcentral